This 410-nucleotide long non-coding RNA is filed under the name Ananas comosus (pineapple). RNAcentral describes it as "long non-coding RNA (ACOM_LNC035215)". Lineage: Eukaryota; Viridiplantae; Streptophyta; Magnoliopsida; Poales; Bromeliaceae. The record is from RNAcentral.
CAAACUGAGAGUACUGAUAAUAAAGAACUGAAACCAAACUGUACUUUUUAACUGGCGAAUAUUACUAAAUAACCAAUCAGCUGAUCUAAUUUGUAUGAAAUUUAGAGAAUAUAUAAUUUAUAAUACGAUACGAAAUAUUUAAAUAUUAAAAACUAUAAUUUUAACUGUUUUCUAGCUAACAUGUUUUUGAAAUUAAUCAGCAAGUCCCUUGAAACAUUAUUAUGUAAAAAUAUAACAUAAUAUUUUAAUUAUUGGCACAAUACUAAUCACAAUAUUGCUGUCUCUGAACUUCAAUAUUUAAUCAACUAAAUCAAUUGUACAUAUUUACUGAAAUAUCCAAAAAUUCGAGCAAAAAAUUAUAAUAAAUUAAACUUUAAGGAUCAAAGCGUCACACUUUGUAUAGUUUCAGG